AUCUUAAGUUGUAUAUAUGUGCAGAGCGCGGCGCGGGUGGUCGCCUCCGCUGCUGCCGCCACCCGCCUGGCCUGCCUUUGACCCCAUGGGUCACAGACAAGGCAGGGUGAUCGCGGCAAGACCCUGAGUGAGACUAGAGGCGUUACCCAGAGGGUGCGAGGUCGAGCACCCUCCCUGUCCCAUCGCAAACCCAAAGAUCCCCGUUCCUGGAGAUUCUGAUUGAGGUCCCAGCCCUACCUGUCCUGAUGCCUGACCAGCAGGAUGCAAGCCCAGGAGGCCAUCCAGGAUACCAGGACUGGGAGAGAAUGCCCAGUGGUGAUUCCUGCAUAGUCCUAGGAGGUGUCUUGGGCCCAGGCUCUGGAGUUGGAGGCUCAGUUUCAGCCUUGCACAGGGUCUCUGUUGCAGGUGGCCACUUCUGUACCACAAGGGAGAACGUGUGUCUGGCAAAGCAUGGUGCUACCCAGGGUGAGGCCGAGCUGGAUGAUGCUCCAGUCCUGAACCCCACUCAUGGACACUCACUCACCCAUCUCCGGGGUCCGCCCGGCUCCCGGCGCAGCCC
Molecule: non-coding RNA, 559 nt
Filed under: Pan troglodytes (chimpanzee)
Lineage: Eukaryota; Metazoa; Chordata; Mammalia; Primates; Hominidae
Source: RNAcentral